AGUGAACGCUGGCGGUAGGCCUAACACAUGCAAGUCGAACGGCAGCACAGUAAGAGCUUGCUCUUACGGGUGGCGAGUGGCGGACGGGUGAGGAAUACAUCGGAAUCUACUUUUUCGUGGGGGAUAACGUAGGGAAACUUACGCUAAUACCGCAUAAGACCUACGGGUGAAAGCAGGGGAUCUUCGGACCUUGCGCGAUUGAAUGAGCCGAUGUCGGAUUAGCUAGUUGGCGGGGUAAAGGCCCGCCAAGGCGACGAUCCGUAGCUGGUCUGAGAGGAUGAUCAGCCACACUGGAACUGAGACACGGUCCAGACUCCUACGGGAGGCAGCAGUGGGGAAUAUUGGACAAUGGGCGCAAGCCUGAUCCAGCCAUACCGCGUGGGUGAAGAAGGCCUUCGGGUUGUAAAGCCCUUUUGUUGGGAAAGAAAAGCAGCAGGUUAAUACCCCGCUGUUCUGACGGUACCCAAAGAAUAAGCACCGGCUAACUUCGUG
Molecule: ribosomal RNA, 492 nt
Filed under: uncultured bacterium
Lineage: Bacteria
Description: partial 16S ribosomal RNA
Rfam family: Bacterial small subunit ribosomal RNA
Source: RNAcentral